GCGCUUCGGCGCCGUCGUACGAUGAGCCUGCGGCGCAUUAGUUAGUUGGCGGUGUACAAGCCCACCAAUGCGACGAUGCGUAGCCGACCUGAGAGGGUGAUCGGCCACACUGGGACUGAGAUACGGCCCAGACUCCUACGGGAGGCAGCAGCUAAGGAUCUUCCGCAAUGGACGCAAGUCCGACGGAGCGACGCCGCGUGGGCGAGGAAGGCCGAAAGGUUGUAAAGCCCUUUUCUGCGUGAGGAAUAAGGUCAGGAGGGAAUGCCUUACUGAUGACGGUAGCGCAGGAAUAAGCCCCGGCCAAUUACGUGCCAGCAGCCGCGGUAACACGUAUGGGGCGAGCGUUGUUCGGAAUUAUUGGGCGUAAAGGGCGCGCAGGCGGUCAUGCAAGCUUGGUGUGAAAGACCACGGUUCAACGGUGGAAACGCGCUGAGAACUGUAUGACUUGAGUNUCGGAGGGGGAGCUGGAAUUCCAGGUGUAGGGGUGAACUCUGUAGAUAUCUGGAAGACCAUCAGUGGCGAAUGCGAGCUCCUGGCCGUGAACUGACGCUGAGGCGCGAAAGCGUGGGGAGCGAA
This 576-nucleotide ribosomal RNA is filed under the name uncultured organism. RNAcentral's name for it is "bacterial SSU rRNA". It matches the Rfam family "Bacterial small subunit ribosomal RNA", at positions 207 to 772 of the family's 1533-position model. The record is from RNAcentral.